RNAcentral lists this ribosomal RNA (521 nucleotides) under uncultured bacterium. Its description in RNAcentral is "bacterial SSU rRNA". It matches the Rfam family "Archaeal small subunit ribosomal RNA", at positions 345 to 866 of the family's 1478-position model. The record is from RNAcentral.
AACCUCCGCAAUGUGAGAAAUCGCGACGGGGGGAUCCCAAGUGCCAUUCUUAACGGGAUGGCUUUUCAUUAGUGUAAAGAGCUUUUGGAAUAAGAGCUGGGCAAGACCGGUGCCAGCCGCCGCGGUAACACCGGCAGCUCUAGUGGUAGCAAUUUUUAUUGGGCCUAAAGCGUCCAUAGCCGGUUUAAUAAGUCUCUGGUGAAAUCCUGUAGCUUAACUGUGGGAAUUGCUGGAGAUACUAUUAGACUUGAGACCGGGAGAGGUUAGAGGUACUCCCAGGGUAGAGGUGAAAUUCUGUAAUCCUGGGAGGACCGCCUGUUGCGAAGGCGUCUAACUGGAACGGUUCUGACGGUGAGGGACGAAAGUUAGGGGCGCGAACCGGAUUAGAUACCCGGGUAGUCCUAACUGUAAACGAUGCGGACUUGGUGUUGGGGUGGCUUUGAGCUGUCCCAGUGCCGAAGGGAAGCUGUUAAGUCCGCCGCCUGGGAAGUACGGUCGCAAGACUGAAACUUAAAGGAAUU